UGCUGCUCUGCCAAGACCUUCCGUGAAAAAGCUUAAUACUAUUUUGAGUACGUAAUGGAUCACAACGCGAUAUUUUCCCAGGAAACCAUUUGGCGUCCAAAGAGUAAUCAGGUGCCUGAAAGCAUGUGUGACUGGACAUUGCACACGCAUUGGCUACACUGGAGCGGUACAGGCCUACUUACAUGCAGUUUACUUCAUAAUGCUUUGCAUUCCUGUUAUAUUUGCAUAAAAUGUGUGAGGCUCAUAGGCGGCAUUUCCUCCUUGAUGGAAUCGCUUGUGUUAGGCCUUUCCUUCAACUUCCGACUUUUGAACCUCACACCCAUUGACACCGCCAUGUGUUACCAACAUUGACUCAUUUCAUGUAUUGGCCAACAAACGAACUUGUAGGCCUACAUGCCAUGGUUGACACAUUUUAAUAAAACAUGGUUAAUAUUUAAUUAGAGGAACAUACCCCAAAGUACUGAUGAAGCCAUUGACAGUGCCUUCCGCGUAAAGCGACACAAUGUCUCCAAUAUGAAGAAAACUAGAUCUGUUGUCUGACAUUUUCGCUUAAUUCUGUCCAAAAGUUGGCUUUCCAGGACAAUGACCCAACACACAUCCAGGCUGUGUAAGGGCUAUAUGACCAAGGAGAGUGAUGGAGUGCUGCAUCAGAUGACCUGGCCUCCACAAUCACCCGAGCUCAACCCAAUUGAGAUGGGUUGGGUUGAGUUGGACCGCAGUGAUGGAAAAGCAGCCAAUAAGCACUCAGCAUAUGUGGGAACUCCUUCAAAACGGUUGGAAAAGCAUUCCUCAUGAAGCUGGUGGAGAGAAUGCCAAAUGUGCAAAGCUUUGUAACGCCAUGUAUUUGCUAUUUGUGUUUACGGCUAAGACCCCUCAUGUUCUCCAAUUAUGAGGUGAUGACCACUCCACUACCAGUGUCAACUCUCUCCUGACAUGAACUGAUGCCAUGUCCCAUCAUCCACUAGAGCAUUUAAUAUUUCCUCUCCAAGCACUAUGCUUAGCCCUAUGCAUUUUUUUUAUUACUUAAAUUCAUUAACACAAUCACAUUAUUACACAUCAAUUCAAUUUCACACCCUGCUUGGACUGUCAUUCAUAGCCCUUUUGUCUAACUGUGUUGUGUACUGUUUUGUAUUCCCAGACAAAUAUUUUCCUGCCCUCGCGGAAGAGUUGAGCUCUUCUCCAACACCCUCUAUCCAUGAUGAGCCCAUCAUGUCCUGAAGUCAAGCCACUGAAGACAUCAACCCAUCCUGUCAUGUCCUGAAGCCAAGCCUCUGAACACAUCAAGUCUCGCAGCACUCGGACUGGUCAGACACCAAACGAUAUCCUGUACCUGGCAGCAGCUUCCAUGGUCAACUUGGACAGCCUGAUCCCCCAGCAUCUGUCCAUACAGUACCGCCUGCUGGCUUGUGAAAAAUAAAGACCCAUUGUACCUUG
This is a long non-coding RNA of Oncorhynchus kisutch (coho salmon), 1434 nucleotides long. RefSeq lists it as uncharacterized. The transcript has 2 exons. Lineage: Eukaryota; Metazoa; Chordata; Actinopteri; Salmoniformes; Salmonidae. The record is from RefSeq and is a predicted model, not a curated record.